RNAcentral lists this long non-coding RNA (945 nucleotides) under Mytilus galloprovincialis (Mediterranean mussel). The record is from RNAcentral. Lineage: Eukaryota; Metazoa; Mollusca; Bivalvia; Mytilida; Mytilidae.
UUUCUCUCCAAUGUGUCUUCUAAUUUAGAUUUAUCAUGCAUGUCUCUGAAAAAAGUAUGCGACGCGUAACAGUUUAUUAGUCUUGGUGUUCAUAUGCAUUUGAUACGGUGCAUUUAUUAUGGAUAUAUUUCAGACUCCAUUUAUGAGAGAAAAUCUACAGAGCAGAGCAUUUUUUUUUGUAGCUCUAUUUUAGAACAUGAGAUUUAAACUGGUUGAAAUGAAUUAAGUUUGAAAUUUGUCAAAGUAAGCUUUAAGAAUUUUUGAAAAAGGGGGAGGGAUCAAAAAUGAUUGUCCUGUCCCUAAGCAUCAAUUCUUUGAAAUAGAGAACGGCAUCUGUUACAAUAAGAGCGCUGGUUUUUUUUUUUACAUUUUUCCUACAUUGCGCAAGUCUUGUUGCAUGUCUGCGUAGCGUUAUCGAUAUAAAGGAAACAAUUCUUUUUAAACAAUUUACUAGGACUAUCUCUAAAUUGUCGAGGUUAUGUUUGCUUUUAUCUCCGUGUUUACUAAAAUUUAGAGAUGAAGAACAACAAUAAAGCAUUUUCCCUUCCUUUCACGUUAUUGUGUGCGAGCGAUGAUUUGUUUGGUUAUAAUAGAGAAUGGUAACGGCGAAUGUAUCAAAGAGACAACCUCCAUACCAAGGAGCAGAAAGCUGUCCAAGGCUUAUUGGUCUUUAUCGCAGCGAGAAGACCCCGCACUCGGAGACAGGCUACAGCUUGCCUCUGAAAAACUAUGCAUUCUAGCUCAGCAAAAUGAACGCCACAACAAACUCCGAAACAUUCAAAUGAACAAAACAAACCCAACAUGAUACUAACAAAGCUAGAGGUUCCUGAUUUGGCACAGACGCCAAAAAGCGUCGGGGUUUACAUAUUUUGUGAUAUCUCUCUAAGCCAAUGUAGAAUUAACAAACCCCAACAAUACACACAGUAAAACUGAGUUAAAAAGAAC